CCGGCGAAAGUCGGCUUCCGCAAGGACACUUGUCGAGGUGCUGCAUGGCUGUCGUCAGCUCGUGUCGUGAGAUGUUGGGUUAAGUCCCGCAACGAGCGCAACCCUUGUCCUCUGUUGCCAUCACGUUAUGGUGGGCACUCUGAGGAGACUGCCGGUGACAAACCGGAGGAAGGUGGGGAUGACGUCAAGUCCGCAUGGCCUUUAUGUCUGGGGCCACACACGUGCUACAAUGGCCGAUACAAACCGUCGCGAUACCGCAAGGUGGAGCUAAUCGGAGAAAAUCGGUCUCAGUUCGGAUUGCAGGCUGCAACUCGCCUGCAUGAAGUUGGAAUCGCUAGUAAUCGCGGAUCAGCACGCCGCGGUGAAUACGUUCCCGGGCCUUGUACACACCGCCCGUCACAUCACGAAAGCUGGCUGUACUAGAAGUCGCUGCGCUAACCCGCAAGGGAGGCAGGCGCCUAAGGUAUGGUUAGUGAUUGGGGUGAAGUCGUAACAAGGUAGGCGUAGUGCU
RNAcentral lists this ribosomal RNA (511 nucleotides) under uncultured bacterium. Its description in RNAcentral is "bacterial SSU rRNA". It matches the Rfam family "Bacterial small subunit ribosomal RNA", at positions 998 to 1509 of the family's 1533-position model. The record is from RNAcentral.